Molecule: ribosomal RNA, 279 nt
Filed under: uncultured bacterium
Lineage: Bacteria
Description: partial 16S ribosomal RNA
Rfam family: Bacterial small subunit ribosomal RNA
Source: RNAcentral
UGCCAGCCGCCGCGGUAAUACGGAGGGUGCAAGCGUUAAUCGGAAUUACUGGGCGUAAAGCGCACGUAGGUGGCUUGGUAAGUCGGAUGUGAGAGCCCUGGGCUCAACCUGGGAAUUGCAUUCGAUACUGCUUAGCUAGAGUAUGAGAGAGGGUAGUGGAAUUCCGGGUGUAGCGGUGAAAUGCGUAGAUAUCGGAAGGAACACCAGUGGCGAAGGCGACUUCCUGGCCCAAAACUGACGCUGAGGUGCGAAAGCGUGGGUAGCGAACAGGAUUAGAUA